This 472-nucleotide ribosomal RNA is filed under the name uncultured organism. RNAcentral describes it as "partial 16S ribosomal RNA". It matches the Rfam family "Bacterial small subunit ribosomal RNA", at positions 333 to 797 of the family's 1533-position model. The record is from RNAcentral.
ACACUCCUGCGGGAGGCAGCAGUGGGGAAUUUUGAACAAUGGGCGAAAGCCUGAUCCAGCCAUGCCGCGUGCAGGAUGAAGGCCUUCGGGUUGUAAACUGCUUUUGUACGGAACGAAACGGCCUUUUCUAAUAAAGAGGGCUAAUGACGGUACCGUAAGAAUAAGCACCGGCUAACUACGUGCCAGCAGCCGCGGUAAUACGUAGGGUGCAAGCGUUAAUCGGAAUUACUGGGCGUAAAGCGUGCGCAGGCGGUUAUGUAAGACAGUUGUGAAAUCCCCGGGCUCAACCUGGGAACUGCAUCUGUGACUGCAUAGCUAGAGUACGGUAGAGGGGGAUGGAAUUCCGCGUGUAGCAGUGAAAUGCGUAGAUAUGCGGAGGAACACCGAUGGCGAAGGCAAUCCCCUGGACCUGUACUGACGCUCAUGCACGAAAGCGUGGGGAGCAAACAGGAUUAGAUACCCUAGUAGUCCC